UACAGAGGUCUCAACCGUUGUUCGGAUUCAUUGGGCGUAAAGGGUGCGUAGGCGGUCGCGCAAGUCGGAUGUGAAAUCUCAGGGCUCAACCCUGGAACUGCAUUCGAUACUGCGUGGCUAGAGUGCUGGAGAGGAGACUGGAAUUUACGGUGUAGCAGUGAAAUGCGUAGAUAUCGUAAGGAAGACCAGUGGCGAAGGCGAGUCUCUGGACAGCAACUGACGCUGAGGCACGAAGGCCAGGGGAGCAAACGGG
RNAcentral lists this ribosomal RNA (253 nucleotides) under uncultured bacterium. Its description in RNAcentral is "partial 16S ribosomal RNA". It matches the Rfam family "Bacterial small subunit ribosomal RNA", at positions 524 to 776 of the family's 1533-position model. The record is from RNAcentral.